This 1644-nucleotide ribosomal RNA is filed under the name Salmonella enterica subsp. enterica. Its description in RNAcentral is "partial 23S ribosomal RNA". It matches the Rfam family "Bacterial large subunit ribosomal RNA", at positions 1315 to 2925 of the family's 2925-position model. The record is from RNAcentral. Lineage: Bacteria; Pseudomonadati; Pseudomonadota; Gammaproteobacteria; Enterobacterales; Enterobacteriaceae.
AAGCGGGUGAAAAGCCCGCUCGCCGGAAGACCAAGGGUUCCUGUCCAACGUUAAUCGGGGCAGGGUGAGUCGACCCCUAAGGCGAGGCCGAAAGGCGUAGUCGAUGGGAAACGGGUUAAUAUUCCCGUACUUGGUGUUACUGCGAAGGGGGGACGGAGAAGGCUAUGUUGGCCGGGCGACGGUUGUCCCGGUUUAAGCGUGUAGGUGUGUGUUCCAGGUAAAUCCGGUUCACUUUAACACUGAGGCGUGACGACGAGGCACUACGGUGCUGAAGCAACAAAUGCCCUGCUUCCAGGAAAAGCCUCUAAGCAUCAGGUAACAUCAAAUCGUACCCCAAACCGACACAGGUGGUCAGGUAGAGAAUACCAAGGCGCUUGAGAGAACUCGGGUGAAGGAACUAGGCAAAAUGGUGCCGUAACUUCGGGAGAAGGCACGCUGACACGUAGGUGAAGUGAUUUACUCAUGGAGCUGAAGUCAGUCGAAGAUACCAGCUGGCUGCAACUGUUUAUUAAAAACACAGCACUGUGCAAACACGAAAGUGGACGUAUACGGUGUGACGCCUGCCCGGUGCCGGAAGGUUAAUUGAUGGGGUCAGCGCAAGCGAAGCUCCUGAUCGAAGCCCCGGUAAACGGCGGCCGUAACUAUAACGGUCCUAAGGUAGCGAAAUUCCUUGUCGGGUAAGUUCCGACCUGCACGAAUGGCGUAAUGAUGGCCAGGCUGUCUCCACCCGAGACUCAGUGAAAUUGAACUCGCUGUGAAGAUGCAGUGUACCCGCGGCAAGACGGAAAGACCCCGUGAACCUUUACUAUAGCUUGACACUGAACAUUGAGCCUUGAUGUGUAGGAUAGGUGGGAGGCUUUGAAGUGUGGACGCCAGUCUGCAUGGAGCCGACCUUGAAAUACCACCCUUUAAUGUUUGAUGUUCUAACGUGGACCCGUAAUCCGGGUUGCGGACAGUGUCUGGUGGGUAGUUUGACUGGGGCGGUCUCCUCCUAAAGAGUAACGGAGGAGCACGAAGGUUGGCUAAUCCUGGUCGGACAUCAGGAGGUUAGUGCAAUGGCAUAAGCCAGCUUGACUGCGAGCGUGACGGCGCGAGCAGGUGCGAAAGCAGGUCAUAGUGAUCCGGUGGUUCUGAAUGGAAGGGCCAUCGCUCAACGGAUAAAAGGUACUCCGGGGAUAACAGGCUGAUACCGCCCAAGAGUUCAUAUCGACGGCGGUGUUUGGCACCUCGAUGUCGGCUCAUCACAUCCUGGGGCUGAAGUAGGUCCCAAGGGUAUGGCUGUUCGCCAUUUAAAGUGGUACGCGAGCUGGGUUUAGAACGUCGUGAGACAGUUCGGUCCCUAUCUGCCGUGGGCGCUGGAGAACUGAGGGGGGCUGCUCCUAGUACGAGAGGACCGGAGUGGACGCAUCACUGGUGUUCGGGUUGUCAUGCCAAUGGCACUGCCCGGUAGCUAAAUGCGGAAGAGAUAAGUGCUGAAAGCAUCUAAGCACGAAACUUGCCCCGAGAUGAGUUCUCCCUGAGACUUAGAGUCUCCUGAAGGAACGUUGAAGACGACGACGUUGAUAGGCCGGGUGUGUAAGCGCAGCGAUGCGUUGAGCUAACCGGUACUAAUGAACCGUGAGGCUUAACCUUACAACGCCGAAG